GGGAUUUAAAGAUCUCAAUCUAUUUAAUGAUGCAAUUUUGGCAAAGCAAGCAUGGAGGAUAUUGCAAUCUCCUUACUCUCUGUGUGCUAGGUUGUUGAAGGGAAUUUAUUUUCCUUAUGCUUAUUUCUUGAAUGCCUGGGUCCCUUCUAAUUCAUCAUGGGCGUGGCGUUGUCUUUUGAAUGGGAGCGAAGUUCUCAAGUUAGGGCUGAGAUGGAAUAUCACUGGUAGAUCUUUUGUUAAUGUAUGGACUGAACCUUGGGUUUCUAGUCUUCCUCAGUUUAAGAUUUCUUCUAUGCAGCCACAGAAUAGUCCAAUCAUGUAUAUGUCCGAUCUCAUAGCCUUCUAUUAUGACUUGGGACCCUUGUACUGUACAUGCAUGAUUUUCUCCUAUGGAAUGUAAGGAGAUAAUGAAGAUUCCCCUGUCUAGGUAACUAAUGAUGAUAGAAGAGUAUGGCAUUAUACUGAAAAUGGAGUUCCAACAGUGAAAUCAAU
This 492-nucleotide unclassified non-coding RNA is filed under the name Hevea brasiliensis (rubber tree). The record is from RNAcentral. Lineage: Eukaryota; Viridiplantae; Streptophyta; Magnoliopsida; Malpighiales; Euphorbiaceae.